This 371-nucleotide ribosomal RNA is filed under the name uncultured organism. RNAcentral describes it as "bacterial SSU rRNA". It matches the Rfam family "Bacterial small subunit ribosomal RNA", at positions 526 to 896 of the family's 1533-position model. The record is from RNAcentral.
CAGAGGGUGCAAGCGUUAAUCGGAAUUACUGGGCGUAAAGCGUGCGUAGUCGGCUUUUCAAGUCGGGUGUGAAAGCCCCGGGCUCAACCUGGGAAUUGCAUUCGAUACUGGAUCGCUAGAGUUCGGCAGAGGGAAGCGGAAUUUCGGGUGUAGCGGUGAAAUGCGUAGAUAUCCGAAGGAACAUCAGUGGCGAAAGCGGCUUCCUGGACCAGAACUGACGAUCAGGCACGAAAGCGUGGGGAGCAAACAGGAUUAGAUACCCUGGUAGUCCACGCCAUAAACGAUGACAACUAGACGUUGGGAGGGUAUGCCUCACAGUGUCGCAGCUAACGCGUUAAGUUGUCCGCCUGGGGAGUACGGCCGCAAGGUUG